Molecule: transfer RNA, 87 nt
Filed under: Klebsiella pneumoniae
Lineage: Bacteria; Pseudomonadati; Pseudomonadota; Gammaproteobacteria; Enterobacterales; Enterobacteriaceae
Also listed under: 2 other names
Description: tRNA-Leu
Rfam family: tRNA
About the family: Transfer RNA (tRNA) molecules are approximately 80 nucleotides in length. Their secondary structure includes four short double-helical elements and three loops (D, anti-codon, and T loops).
Source: RNAcentral
GCCCGGAUGGUGGAAUCGGUAGACACAAGGGAUUUAAAAUCCCUCGGCGUUCGCGCCGUGCGGGUUCAAGUCCCGCUCCGGGUACCA